This 408-nucleotide long non-coding RNA is filed under the name Sus scrofa (pig). RNAcentral describes it as "lncRNA (ENSSSCG00050016784.1, ENSSSCG00070004687.1)". Lineage: Eukaryota; Metazoa; Chordata; Mammalia; Artiodactyla; Suidae. The record is from RNAcentral.
AAAAUAGGGAAAGAAAGGGCUUGUGGAGUACGGAAGGAGAAACAAGUUUGCGGAGAGAGGGCUGGGCUGUUGGACUUGCUGGCUGGGAGCUACAGAUAUUUAGCUCAGGGAGAGACAGGAAAAGCACAAAUUGGAGGUGCAGGCCCCAUCCCAAGCCUCACAUCAAGAGUGGAUAGCCUUUCUCUACUCUUCGGUUACUGGACCACAUAGAAACCAGCUCCUGUGAAACAGCUAAACACACACUGGAUUCACUGACUUGUACAGGCAUUCCUUCUGUGCCCAGGAUCGUAGUAACUUCUGGGAGGUGGUGGCUGGUGACUUUAAAAUGAGAGACAAUGUCAUCUUGUGCACAAAUGACGUCUUCCUCAGUAGAGCCAUAUGUCAGGGAAAUAGUCAGGAAAGGGUUUA